Molecule: ribosomal RNA, 253 nt
Filed under: uncultured bacterium
Lineage: Bacteria
Description: partial 16S ribosomal RNA
Rfam family: Bacterial small subunit ribosomal RNA
Source: RNAcentral
UACGUAGGGUGCGAGCGUUGUCCGGAAUUAUUGGGCGUAAAGAGCUUGUAGGCGGUUUGUCGCGUCUGCUGUGAAAGUCCGGGGCUCAACCCCGGACUUGCAGUGGGUACGGGCAGACUGGAGUGUGGUAGGGGAGACUGGAAUUCCUGGUGUAGCGGUGGAAUGCGCAGAUGUCAGGAGGAACACCGAUGGCGAAGGCGGGUCUCUGGGCCACUACUGACGCUGAGGUGCGAAAGCGUGGGGAGCAAACAGG